AGGGUUUGAUUCUGGCUCAGAACGAACGCUGGUGGCGUGCUUAACACAUGCAAGUCGAACGAGAAAGUUUCCUUCGGGAAAUUAGUAAAGUGGCGCAAGGGUGAGUAUCACGUGAAUAAUCUGCCCUCGAGAUCGGGAUAACAUGGUGAAAACUAUGCUAAUACCGGAUAAGACCACAUUUCAUAAGAAAUGCGGUAAAAGGAGUCUCAAUCUUCACUCGAGGAUGAGUUCGCGCAACAUUAGCUUGUUGGUGAGAUAAAAGCUCACCAAGGCUACGAUGUUUAGCCGGCCUGAGAGGGUGAACGGCCACACUGGAACUGAGACACGGUCCAGACUCCUACGGGAGGCAGCAGUGGGGAAUAUUGCGCAAUGGGCGAAAGCCUGACGCAGCAACGCCGUGUGAGCGAUGAAGGCUUUAGGGUCGUAAAGCUCUGUCAAAUGGGAAGAAUUUUGACGGUACCAUUAGAGGAAGCCCCGGCUAACUCCGUGCCAGCA
Molecule: ribosomal RNA, 495 nt
Filed under: uncultured Desulfobacterales bacterium
Lineage: Bacteria; Pseudomonadati; Thermodesulfobacteriota; Desulfobacteria; Desulfobacterales
Description: bacterial SSU rRNA
Rfam family: Bacterial small subunit ribosomal RNA
Source: RNAcentral